GGUCUGGAUACGUCUCUAUCAAUGUGAAAUGAGCACAGCUCGUCCUCAGUUCAGUCAACUCCUCGGCCUCUGGAGAGUAUUACUGUGAAGCUGAGAACACGCUGGGGAGAAGGACAUCCAAACACAUCUCUAUAAAUGUCAAAUGGGGAGGGAAAUCAGUGGCUGUUGCUGGAACAAUCACGGUUGUUCUCCUGGUUAUCGUGUUCCUCUCUGUCCUCGUGUGGAUCAGACAAAAGAGGGCUUCCAAUGAACCGUCUGAGGCUGAAGAGAGACAAGAACACACGGAGCAGGUGAG
Labrus bergylta (ballan wrasse) is the source of this 295-nucleotide non-coding RNA. The record is from RefSeq and is a predicted model, not a curated record. NCBI's taxonomy places the organism in Eukaryota, Metazoa, Chordata, Actinopteri, Labriformes, Labridae.